AUUUUUACUCUUACAUUUUCAAAAAAAUGUAAGUUUCAUCUAAAAAGAAUAUAAUUGAAGAAUUGCAAUAUUGAAACGUGUUAGCAAAUGUAAGAAAAUACACUACACAUAUUUAUGCAUUCCUAUAUUCGCGAGUUUUUACGUGACUAAUCUUAAGAAUAGAUAGUAUGUCGCCAAAGUGGAGUUUAGAGGAAAGUUUCAGAUUAGAGGAAUAACAGAUGAAGCGGAAGUCUUAGGGAGCGCAUCAGGUAAAAUGUUUCUAAAGAGUUUGCCGGCGUGGCGUAUCUUGCGCAGAAAAUCUGUUCCUUUACUUCUGUUUACUUUACCGCUUAUAUCUUCAAUGCGUUACAUUAAAAUCUCCUUAAACCUACUCGGUUAACGCAAGAUUAUUUCGCAUUCAAUUGUUAACGAGAUUCAGAUAUUAACUCAAAAAAUUACAAUUGUAAAUUUUGUAAGGACUGUUAUACAAAUUUGAUCUCAAAUUCGAUAACUUGUACAAAUUUAUUUACAUAAGAAAAAUAAUUAUCAAGAUUUUUAAAUAUUAUUAUUCGCUUUAUAGUUCAAUUUUUAUAAAACAUUUUAUAGUUGUAGCUUGGAGUCAAGUUAUAAAAGAAAGGCCAUUUUUAUUUAAACAAGUUUUUAUUUAAAAGUUUACACACUUGUCUGGCAUAAAGAAGAAUGUUAGAUACGUACAAUUUAUGCCUGUUAAAUAAAUAAACAAAAUCAAGUCGAAUAUCAAAGAAUUUUUAUAAUCUUGCAAUUAUUAGAAACAAGCAAAAUUGUGGUAUAUCGUUACAUCAAUCGGUAUGUUUCUUUUCUUUUUAUUAUUUUUCCUCUUUUUUUUUUCCUUAUUUUUUAAUAAAUUCUCAACACGCGACACUUUAUCACGCGUCGAAACCACAUAUAUUUCGAGUUGUAGCGUGACGCACAGAGAAACGCUUCUACACCCUUCGUGAUAAAUCACCAGAGGAAGAGAGACGGAAAGAGAGGCCACCGUCGUAAAUUCUCAAGUCUCUCCCGCCUUUUAAAUGUUAAAAAAAAAAAAAAAAAAAGAAAAAAGAAAAAUGAAAGAUCUCCAGGAUUCUCACUUAACUUCGGAUCAUUCGACGAUUUUAAAACUCUCGACAAGAUUCUAUUAAGAUAUUUUUAAUUUCGAAGACGAUCAUCUAUGAUUUAACAAGAGUAUAAUAAUUUGAAUUGAAAACGUCAAGAGAAUGAGAAUCGAAUCAAGAAUGUUUCCUGAAUUUACUAAUCUAAAAAACACAAGUAAAUUAUUUUAAUCGGAUAUCUUCAUCGCAUGACAAAAAGGAAAGUGACGAAAUUUAUCGUUGGAAAGAAGAUCGUAAAAAGAUCAGAAGAAUCGUGAAGCAACGAAUCGAGUAAAGGGAAAAUCCCUGGUUAGGGAAACAAAAGUUUUUUAGGGAUCGUGGAAAAGUUUGAUACCUCUACAUCUUUUUCUUAUUCUUCCCUUCCUUUUCAGCUGAAAUGGUUCGAUGCAAAAUCUAUAGCCGGUAAAAGGCGAUCGUGAAGCAAUAUCAGGCAUGGAAGAAACGUUGAAUUAUUCAACCCGAAGGCGAGGAAAAUGUUUUGAUUAUGCCAGGCCACGGACGCACGCACACACGUGUAUACGUGCACGGAUUCUCUGCGCGGUGGCCACGGCCGAAAUUAGUUGGAUAUUCGAAUAAUUAACGAAAAUAGCAGAGACGAGAGAGGUUUUGCGCGUUUCUAUUAUAAAAGUGAAUGCGUAGAGUUAUGUCGAGUCGAAUGAACGAUAAUGUUUGCAAAUUGGAUUUGCACGUAGAGGGAUUAAUCUCUAGUAUGAGAUUAGAUUUUUGAAAAAAGAAAGGGAAAAGUGUUGUCGAGAUUCAAUUUUCUUUUUUUUAAACGAAGCCAGAUUUCUGAACGAAAAACGAAAGAUCCUUGAGAUUGAAAGAAGGAAAAUUUUAUAAUAGUUGCUUCAAAUCUUUACUGAAUAGAGAAUUCUGAGAAAGUGAAUGGAGUUUGAUUUAAGAAAAGAAAGCGCCGAUUAUUAGAAACGAUUAAAGAAGAUUGUACUCGAAUAAUGAACGUUUCAAAAUUCCAACUUUGAAUAUCUAUUGAAAGCAAAACUUCAGAAAACUAAAAUUUAUCCAUGGAAAAAAAAUUGAAAGUGAUUUAUAGAAGAUAAAUAUGUCUAUUGAUCUGUUCUGCAAAUAUCGUUGUGCGAAAUAAAAGAAUAAUAAUAUAAAAAUGAGAAACAAAUUAUUGUCAGAAAAUCUACAACAUGAUGAAUUGAAUUAAAUAAUUAAAGGAUGAUGGUAGUCCAAGCAACGUGAUUGCACGAACGAUUCAAUUGAUCAACUUUUUUAAAUUACAUGGAUCUCGUUAGAGUUGAAAACUUUCGAGAUACUGAGAUCGCGGAAGGUCUAGAAAUAGAUUGCCGCUUCUGUAAUUCUGAAUGGGAUAAAGCUGUAAAAGUCGGCUCAAAAUAAAAAUUGAUUUUACCAUUAAGAAAUUAAUAUCGAAAUUAUUCAACUCAAUUCAAAAACAGCUAUAUUUUAAUCCUUCUAUUUCAUCAUUUAAAUAUUUAAUAAAAUUGAACUUUUCUUUUCACGCACAAAUUUGAUGAUUUGCACUUCUUGAUCAAACUAACAUAUAUCUCAUAGCUAACACAGAGGAUAUUUUAAAUAAUUAAAAAAGAAUAAAUCUUCUCGGCUGUGUGUUUAUUGAAUUUAAAAGAUUUAAAAAACAAACUAUCUCAUUAUAAACCGUUUUCCAAUCUAUAAUUGCAUUCAAUAUUUGAAUACAUAUUUUUCCAUAUAUAAUUCAUGUAAGUGCAAUAAAGAAGAUUGCAAUAAAAAUAUUUCUAGAAAAUCAAAUCUACUCGCUUGGAUAUUUCAUGAACGAAAAUUAUUCGAAAUACAAUAGCAUGGCAUAUUUUUACAUAUUCGAAAACAAAUGAGAAAUCGAGUGAGCGUGUUUACACACGCGGACAAUAUUCUAAAUCAGCCAAUUCUAAUUACGAAUUCGUAGUGCUACCAUUCAAAUUAGAUUCGCACGAUUUUCAUGGCUGGAAACGUGUGUUAGAAUCAGGAACAACCAUCGAAAGCGAUCGCGUUUGUCACGAAUCGUUCUUGCAAUUUAUAUAGAUAAACGGAAUCGUCCGUAAUGUGAACAGCUUCGAGAAAAUUCGAUUGAAUAAUCGAUAAAAGAAAUUUUUCAUUGACGAAUACUAAAUUGAUAAAAAGAAAAAUAACAUUGAAAUUAAAAAAAAAAAAUUAGUAGAUCAUUCUUAAUAUGAAACAAUCCAUAAUCUUUAAGAAUUACAGUAUAUUAAAAAAAAGAUUGAAUUAAAGAUAUCUAUUUUUGCAUUUUAGAUAUAUGUAAUUGAUUGUAUGAUUUAAAAAGAAGAAAGGGAAUAAUAAAAUAUUCCAAAUUGAAUCGAGCAGGUGACAUUGUGUAACGCGUGCUCUACGCGUGCUCUACGUGUGCUCUACGCUCCGUGUUUAUCGACCGUACCACAAACUCUCCCAAAAAGAUACGGGGUGUGGUCAGAAAAUUUUCUUUUUUUCCGUAUGCAUGAUUUACGAAUCAAAAAAAAUUUCGUGACUUUAAGUCGAGGUUAUUCAAAAUCACGAAUGAUACAAGAUGAACGAUAUAUCGAUACUCUAUUGAAACUAUUUAUCGAGUAUCAAAACUCUCCUAACCUAGAAAAAAUCGUAUGACGUUUUAACUUAUUUCAUCAUUCGAUAAUCAAAAUUUUAUCAAGAAACUAAACUAUCGAAUAAUUUUUAAUGAGAAUAAUUUAAUAAAUAGUAAUAACACAUUUCAAAAAUAGUAAUUAAAAGUUAUAAAUAUUAAUAAAAAUAGUAUUGAAACGUGACUUUCUUGCUAUAGAAUAUAGCAUCGAACGAAUAAACUGUAUUGCAGAAAUAGGCGAUCGAAGGGAAGGAAACAAAAUGCUGGCGAGAUCUAGUGACUUUUAGGAACAACGUCAUGCAAGACUGCAACCACCUGCCGUUACACAGUCGAACACGAGAGAAUAUCGUUGAACAAUAAAAAGAAAGUAGCCGAUCGAAUAAGGAUAUACAGGCGAAAGAAAAGACGGAAAAACAGAUAAACGAAUGAAAAAAAGAGAGAUGACGAACAAAAUGAAGAGAGAAAAGGAGCAAAAGUGUGAGAAAGAGGUCGAAGGAGGGGGAUGAAGGUAAAAAGCGGCGCGACGACAUCGUAUUGAUUUGAUGACAGAUCCGCGUACGAUGCGGAUGCCUCGUUUUCGACGGUGAGACCACCACGACGGCACAAGGCACGAUAGCAAGCGCCCUGACGCUUUAUAUAUAGAGCCUGAGCCACAAGCAGACAGGCCGUGCUUAAAUAUAGACGAAAUGCAACGGGGUGUCUCCCGCGUGUGAGCAAGGGACAUGAAACGAUGAGAUAAA
RNAcentral lists this long non-coding RNA (4418 nucleotides) under Apis mellifera (honey bee). RNAcentral describes it as "uncharacterized LOC102654974". Lineage: Eukaryota; Metazoa; Arthropoda; Insecta; Hymenoptera; Apidae. The record is from RNAcentral.